CCUCCCGAGCCCCCCAUACCCCCGGAGCCCCCACUGCCUGUCGGCAGGGUCACGGGGUACCACUGCUCUGUGAAGUGGCGCCCAGCCAGGGUGGCCACAGGCACAGUCACCAGGCCGACAUAGCCCGCCUUGUCCUUCUUGCGCUUUUUGUCUGAGUCACGGUACAGGUGCAACCGCAGGGCCCGGACGGCUGGCAGGUUGUUGAACUCGAAGUGCUCGCCCCAGAAGACGGUGUCCCCCGAGGCCGAGCGGGGCUUGGAGGUGAGAGGGAGAUUUGGAGACCAGAGACACAGGAGGGGAGAUGACCACAUGAAGAUGAAGGCAGAAAGUGCACAGAUGCAGCAAGAAGUCAAGGGAUGCCUGAGACUGCCGGCAACCACCAGAAGGUAUGAAGGGACAAGGGAGGAUUCUUCCUAGAGCUUCUGAGGGAGCAAGGCCCUGCUGACACCUUGAUUUUUGACUUCCAAUCUCCUGAACUGUCAGAGAAUAAAUUUCUGUUGUGUUAA
Long non-coding RNA from Lagenorhynchus albirostris (white-beaked dolphin), 506 nucleotides. RefSeq lists it as uncharacterized. NCBI's taxonomy places the organism in Eukaryota, Metazoa, Chordata, Mammalia, Artiodactyla, Delphinidae. The transcript has 2 exons. The record is from RefSeq and is a predicted model, not a curated record.